AAGGUUGGAAAAGACCUCCAAGAUCAUCUGGUCCAACCAUCCCCCUGCUACCAAUGUCACCCUCUAACCCACAUCCCUACACGCCAGGCCCAGCCUUUUCUUGAACACCCCCAUGGAUGGUGAUGCCACCACUUCCCUGGGCAACCCGUUCCAAUGCCUGACCGCUCUUUCUGAGAAGAAAGAGUGAUACUCAUGGCUGCUGCGAGUUUACUACCCAUGACUUCCUGAGUGUUUCACAUUUUCUAUCUGUGGGUUCUUGUCUUUCUUUGUAUGUAGUCUCACGCAGCACAAAUUUCUUGAUAGGGAAUCACAAAAGGAAGAGUGGUCAUUUUUUCUUUGUUUUCUUCAAGUUUUCUUUGACACUCUGGUAUUUCCUAAAAGAACUUUGAUCAUUUGUAGUGUUAUGGCUGGUGCUGGAGUUUGAAGUAUGCUUGAGCAGAUCCUCGAAGUUUGUUCUUACUUAGUGUAGAAGAAGAUCCAUGUUAUAACUACACAAAACAUGUCAAGCAGUAGUUUUGCUUAGAGGAAGAUACCGGAUAAGAAUAUAUUACUUGUGUAAGUUCAAAUACGAAUACUUUGGUUUUUAUAACUUGAAGAUAUAGGGACAGUAUGGGUUGAUCCUUGCUACUUUUGUCUAAAUGUAUCAGAGAUCAGUGGCUGUAUUGCUUAGCAAUUCUAGGAUGCUGAAUGUUUAGAUCUGUAAGUGGCAAAUUUAGAACAAAAUGCUUGAUUUAGUGCUUUGUUUUUUCUUUCCUAACUGCUUUUUGUAGAGCAAAUGUCUCAUCUGAACAAGUACCGAGAAGCUCACAUCAAGUACGCCGAGGAUAAAGCUUGAUCCCAUUGCGAUGCAGAUGUCUAAGCCUGGAGGAGAGCUGGAAGAGAAGUAAUUUGCACCUGAAGGGGCUACCCAGCCCUGGGAGCAGAGUUAGCUGAAUGGCCCCGACCUGCGCUGCUGUCUGUCAGAAAGAGACCAGAGGCAAAAACAAAUGGGAGCUUUUUUCACCUACACGACAACAGCAACAGAAAGGAGAGGGCAAAACAAAGCCCCAGCAAUCUUCCUCUGGGUGAGGGGGGAGCACAGAAUUUUUCCUUAGAAGUCAUUGCUGAUCUAACAGGCUCCCUUUACCACAAGGAAUCUUCAGCUAGGAAUAAUGUCAGAGAGGAGCAUGCGGUAAAUGACAGUGACUUCCAAGUCUUCAAGCAAUGAAAGGUCAGUCUGUUGUUCAUUUUGAAGAGUUUCUAGCAUCCUUAGAAUUACAGAAUUUGUCAGAUGGAUUGCUCUCCAUAAAGGUAGAUGUUAUGUGCCCA
This 1308-nucleotide long non-coding RNA is filed under the name Anser brachyrhynchus (Pink-footed goose). Its description in RNAcentral is "lncRNA (ENSABRG00000019839.1)". Lineage: Eukaryota; Metazoa; Chordata; Aves; Anseriformes; Anatidae. The record is from RNAcentral.